UCUGAUAAAAGAAUUGUAGGAGAAGGUGUUAAUUAGCCUUUCUCUGCAUGAUCUUCUUCCACUUGCAUUCUCUGUGAGCCUCAAAAACAAACUUUCAUUUUCCAACACCACUUGAAUGUCAUUUCCUAUAAACACCAAAGUGUGAGGCUCUACCUCGCUGUGCAACCUUCAGGGCAUCAUUUCCAUCAGGGAUUUUGACCCAUAUUUCCACAGGAAGGGCAGCUGAGCUGCCAAGACCUUCACACUAAACCAUCACUUGCAUUGAGGGGCGAUGGCUUUCUUUGUAAGUGGAAAAAGAAGACAAACAACAAGAAAAAAGUAAAGAAACCCACACAAACUUAUAAAAAUAGAACUAUACCCUGGCCUUGAACAGGCUCCCAAGGCAGCUUACAAGAAGUUAAACAUGUCGUCAGCUAGGGUGAAAUCUAUAUUUAUUAAAGUCGUGGAAGGAAAAACUGAAGCAUUUAGGGCUUUCAGAAAGAAGAUGACUAAUUGGGACUUAGGAUGCUAGAGGCAUAGGGAGCCUGCUGUGACCUUGCUCCCAAAAACGUAGGAGGACUAAGACCCCCCAAGACCCUGGACA
Rhineura floridana is the source of this 583-nucleotide long non-coding RNA. RefSeq lists it as uncharacterized. The record is from RefSeq and is a predicted model, not a curated record. NCBI's taxonomy places the organism in Eukaryota, Metazoa, Chordata, Lepidosauria, Squamata, Rhineuridae. The transcript is spliced from 4 exons.